RNAcentral lists this microRNA precursor (103 nucleotides) under Zosterops lateralis melanops. RNAcentral's name for it is "miRNA (ENSZLMG00000003150.1)". The stretch from base 11 to 98 matches the Rfam family "let-7 microRNA precursor family". From Rfam's summary of the family: This family represents the microRNAs (miRNA) let-7 and mir-98. let-7 was identified from a study of developmental timing in C. elegans, and was later shown to be part of a much larger class of non-coding RNAs termed miRNAs. The extents of the hairpin precursors are not generally known and are estimated based on hairpin prediction. The record is from RNAcentral. Lineage: Eukaryota; Metazoa; Chordata; Aves; Passeriformes; Zosteropidae.
UUGCCUGAUUCCAGGCUGAGGUAGUAGUUUGUACAGUUUGAGGGUCUAUGAUACCACCCGGUACAGGAGAUAACUGUACAGGCCACUGCCUUGCCUGGGACAG